UAGAGGCCCUUGAACUUUAGUUCUUUUAAGAAUUGGUUUCCGAACUUUCAAUUUUAGUAAUUAUAAAUUUUAAACAUUAUCAAAUAAUUUCUAUAAUAUAAAGCACUUUUUUUCAAUUGAAGCUAUUAAUUACACAAUUAUAACUUUAAAAUAUAAAUAAUUAUUUUUUGCAUCUUAGUAUGUAAAAUAAAAUUCUGUUCAACCAAUUCUUC
Molecule: long non-coding RNA, 212 nt
Filed under: Ananas comosus (pineapple)
Lineage: Eukaryota; Viridiplantae; Streptophyta; Magnoliopsida; Poales; Bromeliaceae
Description: long non-coding RNA (ACOM_LNC008615)
Source: RNAcentral